Molecule: long non-coding RNA, 310 nt
Filed under: Elaeis guineensis (African oil palm)
Lineage: Eukaryota; Viridiplantae; Streptophyta; Magnoliopsida; Arecales; Arecaceae
Description: long non-coding RNA (EGUI_LNC043398)
Source: RNAcentral
CAUCCUAUUGGAACAUCAAUGCAGGGUCUGAGGCCUAGAGCGGCCGUCCAGCUGUUCAACCUGCCGCAGGGCCGAUCUUGAGUGUAGCAUAAGAAAGUGGGUCACUACUAGCAAAUCCAAAUAAAACAACGGCAAGUGUCAUACACCAAAUUACUUUUGAACAAAUUAUGAAAAGGAAUCUACCACCGCAAGAUUACAAGUAUCAUACACUAGAUUACACUGUCAUACACUAGAUUACAUCAUCAUAACGAAGUAAUUAACCACCACUAUAUCAUUACAAUAAACCAUUUAGAAUCUCUAUAGCCACAAA